UACGGGGGGAGCAAGCGUUGUUCGGAUUUACUGGGCGUAAAGGGCGCGUAGGCGGCGCAACAAGUCACUUGUGAAAUCUCCGGGCUUAACCCGGAGCGGCCAAGUGAUACUGUCGUGCUAGAGUGCAGAAAGGGCAACCGGAAUUCUUGGUGUAGCGGUGAAAUGCGUAGAUAUCAAGAGGAACACCUGAGGCGAAGGCGGGUUGCUAGGCUGACACUGACGCUGAGGCGCGAAAGCUAGGGUAGCAAACGGG
This 253-nucleotide ribosomal RNA is filed under the name uncultured bacterium. RNAcentral's name for it is "partial 16S ribosomal RNA". It matches the Rfam family "Bacterial small subunit ribosomal RNA", at positions 524 to 776 of the family's 1533-position model. The record is from RNAcentral.